This 1817-nucleotide ribosomal RNA is filed under the name Dermacentor andersoni. RNAcentral describes it as "small subunit ribosomal RNA". It matches the Rfam family "Eukaryotic small subunit ribosomal RNA". The record is from RNAcentral. Lineage: Eukaryota; Metazoa; Arthropoda; Arachnida; Ixodida; Ixodidae.
UACCUGGUUGAUCCUGCCAGUAAUCAUAUGCUUGUCUCAAAGAUUAAGCCAUGCAUGUCUAAGUACAUGCCGAAAUAAGGCCGAAACCGCGAAUGGCUCAUUAAAUCAGUUAUGGUUCCUUAGAUCGUUUCUUCCUACUUGGAUAACUGUGGCAAUUCUAGAGCUAAUACAUGCAGUGAGCCUGAAGCCCUUUGGGCGACGGGUGCUUUUAUUAGACCAAGAUCGAUCGGGUUUCGGCCCGUAUUGUGUGGUGACUCUGGAUAACUUUGUGCUGAUCGCAUGGCCACGAGCCGGCGACGUUUCUUUCAAGUGUCUGCCUUAUCAACUUUCGAUGGUAGGUUACUUGCUUACCAUGGUUGUUACGGGUAACGGAGAAUCAGGGUUCGAUUCCGGAGAGGGAGCCUGAGAAACGGCUACCACAUCCAAGGAAGGCAGCAGGCGCGCAAAUUACCCACUCCCGGCACGGGGAGGUAGUGACGAAAAAUAACAAUACGGGACUCUUUUGAGGCCCCGUAAUUGAAAUGAGUACACUCUAAAUCCUUUAACGAGGAUCAAUUGGAGGGCAAGUCUGGUGCCAGCAGCCGCGGUAAUUCCAGCUCCAAUAGCGUAUACUAAAGCUGCUGCGGUUAAAAAGCUCGUAGUUGGAUCUCAGUUCCAGACGAGUAGUGCAUCUACCCGAUGCGACGGCUCGGACUGAACAUCAUGCCGGUCCUUUCUUGGUGCACUUCAUUGUGUGCCUCGAGAAGGCCGGUGCUUUUACUUUGAAAAAAUUAGAGUGCUCAACGCAGGCGAGUCGCCUGAAUAAACUUGCAUGGAAUAAUAGAACAAGACCUCGUUUCUGUUCUGUUGGUUUUUUGGAAUACGAGGUAAUGAUUAAGAGGGACAGACGGGGGCAUUCGUAUUGCGGCGCUAGAGGUGAAAUUCUUGGACCGUCGCAAGACGAACUACUGCGAAAGCAUUUGCCAAGAAUGUUUUCUUUGAUCAAGAACGAAAGUCAGAGGUUCGAAGGCGAUCAGAUACCGCCCUAGUUCUGACCAUAAACGAUGCCAACCAGCGAUCCGCCUGAGUUACUCAAAUGACUCGGCGGGCAGCUUCCGGGAAACCAAAGUGUUUGGGUUCCGGGGGAAGUAUGGUUGCAAAGCUGAAACUUAAAGGAAUUGACGGAAGGGCACCACCAGGAGUGGAGCCUGCGGCUUAAUUUGACUCAACACGGGAAAACUUACCCGGCCCGGACACUGGGAGGAUUGACAGAUUGAGAGCUCUUUCUUGAUUCGGUGGAUGGUGGUGCAUGGCCGUUCUUAGUUGGUGGAGCGAUUUGUCUGGUUAAUUCCGAUAACGAACGAGACUCUAGCCUAUUAAAUAGGUGCGGGGUUCCCAGCACCUUACAACCUUCUUAGAGGGACAAGCGGCUCCUAGCCGCACGAAACAGAGCAAUAACAGGUCUGUGAUGCCCUUAGAUGUCCGGGGCCGCACGCGCGCUACACUGAAGGAAGCAGCGUGUCUUUAUCCCUGUCUGAAAAGACUGGGUAACCCGUGGAACUUCUUUCGUGAUUGGGAUAGGGGCUUGCAAUUGUUCCCCUUGAACGAGGAAUUCCCAGUAAGCGCGAGUCAUAAGCUCGCGUUGAUUACGUCCCUGCCCUUUGUACACACCGCCCGUCGCUACUACCGAUUGAAUGAUUUAGUGAGGUCUUCGGACCGAUGUCCGGCGCGGCCUUUCGGUUGCGCCGGUCUGUUGGAAAGAUGACCAAACUUGAUCAUUUAGAGGAAGUAAAAGUCGUAACAAGGUUUCCGUAGGUGAACCUGCGGAAGGAUCAUUA